This 684-nucleotide ribosomal RNA is filed under the name uncultured bacterium. Its description in RNAcentral is "bacterial SSU rRNA". It matches the Rfam family "Bacterial small subunit ribosomal RNA", at positions 69 to 750 of the family's 1533-position model. The record is from RNAcentral.
CACAGGGGAGCUUGCUCCCCGGGUGACGAGUGGCGGACGGGUGAGUAAUGUCUGGGGAUCUGCCCGAUGGAGGGGGAUAACUACUGGAAACGGUAGCUAAUACCGCAUAACCUCGAAAGAGCAAAGUGGGGGACCUUCGGGCCUCACACCAUCGGAUGAACCCAGAUGGGAUUAGCUAGUAGGUGGGGUAACGGCUCACCUAGGCGACGAUCCCUAGCUGGUCUGAGAGGAUGACCAGCCACACUGGAACUGAGACACGGUCCAGACUCCUACGGGAGGCAGCAGUGGGGAAUAUUGCACAAUGGGCGCAAGCCUGAUGCAGCCAUGCCGCGUGUAUGAAGAAGGCCUUCGGGUUGUAAAGUACUUUCAGCGGGGAGGAAGGGAUGAAGGUUAAUAACCUUCGUCAUUGACGUUACCCGCAGAAGAAGCACCGGCUAACUCCGUGCCAGCAGCCGCGGUAAUACGGAGGGUGCAAGCGUUAAUCGGAAUUACUGGGCGUAAAGCGCACGCAGGCGGUUUGUUAAGUCAGAUGUGAAAUCCCCGGGCUCCACCUGGGAACUGCAUUUGAAACUGGCAAGCUUGAGUCUCGUAGAGGGGGGUAGAAUUCCAGGUGUAGCGGUGAAAUGCGUAAGAUCUGGAGGAAUACCGGUGGGGAAGCGGCCCCUGGACAAGACUGGCGCUCAG